This 459-nucleotide ribosomal RNA is filed under the name uncultured bacterium. Its description in RNAcentral is "partial 16S ribosomal RNA". It matches the Rfam family "Bacterial small subunit ribosomal RNA", at positions 338 to 795 of the family's 1533-position model. The record is from RNAcentral.
CCUACGAGUGGCAGCAGUGAGGAAUAUUGGUCAAUGGCCGGGAGGCUGAACCAGCCAAGUCGCGUGAGGGAAGACGGCCCUACGGGUUGUAAACCUCUUUUGUCAGGGAGCAAGGUGCAGGUCGGGACCUGCUGUGAGAGUACCUGAAGAAAAAGCAUCGGCAAAAGCCGUGCCAGCAGCCGCGGUAAUAAGGAGGAUGCGAGUGUUAUUCGGAUUUAUUGGGUGUCAAGGGUGCGCAGGCGGAGGCACCAAUCAGCGGGAAAAUCGCGGGGCUCAACCCCGCUCCGCCGUUGAAAACGUGUCCCUUGAGUGCGCGAAGGGUAGGCGGAAUGCGUGGUGUAGCGGUGAAAUGCAUAGAUAGCACGCAGAACUCCGAUCGCGAAGGCAGCCUACCGGCGCGCAACUGACGCUCAUGCACGAAAGCGUGGGUAUCGAACAGGAUUAGAUACCCGAGUAGUC